Non-coding RNA from Capsicum annuum, 117 nucleotides. NCBI's taxonomy places the organism in Eukaryota, Viridiplantae, Streptophyta, Magnoliopsida, Solanales, Solanaceae. The record is from Rfam.
GGAUGCGAUCAUACCAACACUAACGCAUCGGAUCCCAUCAGAACUCUGAAGUUAAGUGUGUUUGGGCGAGAGUAGUACUAGGAUGGGUGACCCCGGGAAGUCCUCAUGUUGCAUCCC